This is an unclassified non-coding RNA of Sinocyclocheilus rhinocerous, 94 nucleotides long. Its record names the gene Vault. It matches the Rfam family "Vault RNA". From Rfam's summary of the family: This family of RNAs are found as part of the enigmatic vault ribonucleoprotein complex. The complex consists of a major vault protein (MVP), two minor vault proteins (VPARP and TEP1), and several small untranslated RNA molecules. The record is from Ensembl. NCBI's taxonomy places the organism in Eukaryota, Metazoa, Chordata, Actinopteri, Cypriniformes, Cyprinidae.
GCGUUGGUUUAGCUCAGCGGUUACUUCUGAUUGUUACCAAAUCUUCGUCUUACGGCCGCCGGGGAUCGAACCUCGGGCACAGUUCAAAAUGUUC